GACGAACGCUGGCGGCGUGCUUAACACAUGCAAGUCGAACGGAAAGGCCCCGCCUUUGUGGGGUGCUCGAGUGGCGAACGGGUGAGUAACACGUGAGUAACCUGCCCUUGACUUUGGGAUAACAUCAGGAAACUGGGGCUAAUACCGGAUAGGAGCUUCUGCUGCAUGGUGGGGGUGGGAAAGUUUCGGCGGUUGGGGAUGGGCUCGCGGCUUAUGCGCUUGUUGGGGGGGUUGUGGCUGACCAAGGCUUUGACGGGUAGCCGGCCUGAGAGGGUGAACGGCCACAUUGGGACUGAGAUACGGCGCAGACUCCUACGGGAGGCAGCAGUGGGGAAUAUUGCGCAACGGGCGCGAGCCUGAUGCAACGACGCCGCGUGCGGGAUGACGGCCUUCGGGUUGUGAACCGCUUUCGCCUGGGACGAAGCGGGAGUGACGGUAAUUGGUAAAGAAGCACCGGCUAACUACGUG
This 468-nucleotide ribosomal RNA is filed under the name uncultured bacterium. Its description in RNAcentral is "partial 16S ribosomal RNA". It matches the Rfam family "Bacterial small subunit ribosomal RNA", at positions 28 to 507 of the family's 1533-position model. The record is from RNAcentral.